GCCGCCCCCCGCGGCAGCGGCGAGAGCGGCCUCAGUCUGACUGGAGGCGGCGGCGGCGAAGGCGGUGGCAGUGGC
RNAcentral lists this microRNA precursor (75 nucleotides) under Microtus ochrogaster (prairie vole). RNAcentral's name for it is "miRNA (ENSMOCG00000008058.1)". The record is from RNAcentral. Lineage: Eukaryota; Metazoa; Chordata; Mammalia; Rodentia; Cricetidae.